This is a long non-coding RNA of Erigeron canadensis, 2525 nucleotides long. RefSeq lists it as uncharacterized. NCBI's taxonomy places the organism in Eukaryota, Viridiplantae, Streptophyta, Magnoliopsida, Asterales, Asteraceae. The record is from RefSeq and is a predicted model, not a curated record. The transcript is spliced from 8 exons.
UUUGCCAUACUUUUUUAGUUUUUAUUUCUAUUACAAAUGAAAAAAUUCAUGCCAACUGAAUAAUAUUCUUGAAAAUGGAAAUGGCCUUUAUUAGGUUGUUGUUUAAUAUAUGUGUCGAACUUGCUCUAUGCUUUAGCAAGUUGACUCUGCAUCGAAUAUUGUGGUGCUUAUUCGAGUAAGCAAAUGGGCAUGUCGGGUAACGGGUCAAACGAGUAGAUUUUUUUUAUGGGUUGGGUUAAGUUGACCUGUAACAUUUUUGUUCAAAGUCUAUAAGAAAUUAGUAUUAAACAUGGGAAAGGUUUAUAAUAAUAAUAGACUUUGGGCGACUAUCGAAGUAUUUCCUUUUUAUCUGAUACUUUUAUCCAAAAUGUUUAGUGUCUGUUUGACUAUUUCCAUUCUCUAUCUCCCAAGGAAAACCAUGUGUCCAUAUAUGUUAAAAGUUUUGUUGAAGUGUGAGAACAUGCUAAUGCAAGACGGAAUGUAACAGAACUUGGAUAAACCAACUAUUUUUUUUCCUUUUUUGUAUUCACUGUCAUCAAUAUCGCCAAGUCUACUUAAAGCUAAUGAAAACUAAAACUCAUACUCAAGUUCUUACCGAAAUAUCAGCAUCUACUGUUACUUCUGUAACUAAUGAUUGAUUAAUUUUGCAAGCUCAACAGCCGGGAACUACUCAAGACCACUUACAAUAUAAGAGAAGUAUAUUUAUAAUUUUUACUGAAUUUAUUAGUUAGUUAGUUUAGUUGUUCUUUGUCAAAGCAGAUCUCUAAUCAUGAUAUAUUUUUUUUUAACGUUCUGUGAUACUUAUACUUCGUUAACUAUUGUAUUUUAGACUAAUUGUAUAAAUUUGGGAGUUAUAUGUUAUCGGUUUUUGACAAAUUGCUGGAAUGGAGACUAUUAUUGGUAUCUUUGAGGGUUCGAGUCUGGCCGCGCCAAAAAAGUAGCAGCAAGGAUUAUAAGGCAUAAGCUUUGGAAAAAAAAAUUGACGACAUUAAUGGAAGAGGGGCCUUCAAUGACAAGUUGAGUGGCUAAAAUUUUAAGAGAGGGGAAUUUGAAGUUGAAUACGAUAAUGACGUUAACAGUUACUAGCAGACACGGAAUCCAAGGAGACGGAUACUGAUUCUGACCAUAAACUUAAACUGCGUUUCUUGCGUAUAUACUUUAAAAGAGAGAGAACUUUCGGAAGAAAUUGGGAGGCUUCGAAAUCAGCGAUCUUAUCCACCACUUGCAUGAAACAAUUGGAUCAACCUUCAGAGAAAAGACAAAAUCAUUAUCCUGAGCGUUUAACAAUUGGAUUGGGGAAAGUAAACAUAUGUUGGAAUAUGUACAACUCCGUAAAUUAUGAAUGACAAACAUAACGAGAUAUAUAUUAACUGGUUAUUGAACUUCUUUUUUUCUCUCUGGCUGAGUGUUGUUGAGUUUAUGAAGACCCACUUUGGUUAUAAAGUCCGUGCGUCUAAUUACGCCAAGGUCAACUAAAAUCUACAAUAAUUUCAACCCAGACAUAUUUUGAGCCAUUACCUAACCCGGAGUCUGGACAACCUAUUCAUCUUUCCACCUGCAUGUUGUUAUAUAUAUACAAGGCUUGAUAUGGAAUAUAUAUGGUGCUUUGGCAGAGAGUAUCUUGAAGGCUUGCCAACAGGGAACUAAUGGCAUGGCUACGACUGAUGGAUUCAUAAUGAGUGGCAAGGCCGGGUUGGAUGAGUGUUAUAAAGUGCCACGUGCUUAUUUGGGGGUAGAUAUCACAACAAAAGUUGCAGGUUACAACUCUCAUUCUCUGACCGAUGACAUCUUACACUUCGAAAUGCUUGGCUGGUGAGAAUCGUCAUCGAAGGUUGGAUCUAGAGACAUGGAAUGAUCUUGCUAUGGUCUGUAUUAACUUAUCUAAGUGGCAAGACACUAAGACCCGUUUGUUGAAAUCGAAAGCUAUAACUAAUUUAUCGGCUUCUACGCGACAUACUUGGUGAUUGUGGAUUUAGAAGAGACUCUACCUAUUCUUCAUGUUCAACCAAAAGAUGGAACAAUUUAAGAGCUUUUGCUAGGGGGUUGGGUGAAGCAGAAUGGCGUUGCAACUUCAUAAUUUGGGUGGAGAUCAGCGAGGUCCGAACUAUAGAUGGCUGGUACUACUUUCCAUGUAAUAGUGGGAACUGAAAAAAUGCAUUUCGAGAAGAAAUGGCGACUUCUGGGGUCACUCGUGAGACAAGAGUGUCGAUUUUCCAAUGCCAAAGGUUUUGCCAACAAUAGUGAGCAUCAACUUACGAGAAAUAUGCCCAGUUCGGAAUCUUGACGAAUACAAGCUUAUGACACUUUCAUGCAAAUCACCGCACAGUUCCUCCUUUGGUGAUUGUGGUGCCUGGUGGACUUCAUUUCUCCAGACAUUUAAAAACAAUGACAUAGUGACAUUUUGUCUUGAUGAGUCUGGACUCUAAAAAGUGUCUAAGGCAAACCCAUCUUAAUCCAAAGCAAUCUGUGUCUGUCAGAAGUGGAUUUGCUUUCAGUUUAAUUUGGUUGAAUUCUUUUUCUAUUCA